This 721-nucleotide ribosomal RNA is filed under the name uncultured Fusobacterium sp. RNAcentral's name for it is "bacterial SSU rRNA". It matches the Rfam family "Bacterial small subunit ribosomal RNA", at positions 28 to 776 of the family's 1533-position model. Lineage: Bacteria; Fusobacteriati; Fusobacteriota; Fusobacteriia; Fusobacteriales; Fusobacteriaceae. The record is from RNAcentral.
GAUGAACGCUGACAGAAUGCUUAACACAUGCAAGUCAACUUGAACUUCGGUUUGGGUGGCGGACGGGUGAGUAACGCGUAAAGAACUUGCCUCACAGAUAGGGACAACAUUUGGAAACGAAUGCUAAUACCUGAUAUUAUGAUUUUAGGGCAUCCUAGGAUUAUGAAAGCUAUAUGCGCUGUGAGAGAGCUUUGCGUCCCAUUAGCUAGUUGGAGAGGUAACGGCUCACCAAGGCGAUGAUGGGUAGCCGGCCUGAGAGGGUGAUCGGCCACAAGGGGACUGAGACACGGCCCUUACUCCUACGGGAGGCAGCAGUGGGGAAUAUUGGACAAUGGACCAAGAGUCUGAUCCAGCAAUUCUGUGUGCACGAUGAAGUUUUCGGAAUGUAAAGUGCUUUCAGUUGGGAAGAAAAAAAUGACGGUACCAACAGAAGAAGUGACGGCUAAAUACGUGCCAGCAGCCGCGGUAAUACGUAUGUCACAAGCGUUAUCCGGAUUUAUUGGGCGUAAAGCGCGUCUAGGUGGUUAUAUAAGCCUGAUGUGAAAAUGCAGGGCUCAACUCUGUAUUGCGUUGGAAACUGUGUAACUAGAGUACUGGAGAGGUAAGCGGAACUACAAGUGUAGAGGUGAAAUUCGUAGAUAUUCGUAGGAAUGCCGAUGGGGAAGCCAGCUUACUGGACAGAUACUGACACUGAGGCACGAAAGCGUGGGUAGCAAACAGG